AUGCAAAUGGUCAGAUUCUUCUUCUCAGCAAAGGGAAUGGAGCUGGAGCCAUGGAGGAUACCUGCCUGUUGGAAAAAUAAAUGGUCAGACUCUUCUUCCCAGCAAAGGGAUGCUGCUCGUACGGCUUGCUUGAAGCCUGUCCGUCAUUUGUGUCCAAGAAAUGCUAUUCCGUUGAUCUUCACCGAAGGCAGUGAUGUUCCAAGAUAUCAUCAUCACCGUCGUCCGUCGGUUGAUCAUCCCGGUGAUUCACUGAAGAUAGAGAGGAGAGGAGCACCAUUCACUACAAUCCGCGCCAUUGAGCAGCUCAAGAUGCUCUUCAAAUGA
Molecule: ribosomal RNA, 324 nt
Filed under: Triticum aestivum (bread wheat)
Lineage: Eukaryota; Viridiplantae; Streptophyta; Magnoliopsida; Poales; Poaceae
Description: partial small subunit ribosomal RNA
Source: RNAcentral